CUUAUAGCUAGGAUAGCCUUUUGCCUAUCCCACACAUGCUUAAACUCACUCACUCCCCACAUAAACAAGUAAUUUAGGUAUAUACAAAACCAUGCCAGCAAAAAUAUUUUGAUACAUGGUAAAUGUGUUCGGGAAAAUACAUAUGCAUUUUUGUUUGCAGGAUUCUUGCAUAUGUGAGGUUUAACUUUCAGUGUGUGAAAACCUGUGAAUGAAUAAGUGAGUAUGAGUGAUUGAAUGUGUAAUGUGUAAUUUCUCAAUUUGUAUGUAUUUGUGUGUAGCAUGUGAAUUAAUACAUGUAUUUUAUCAAUACUGUAUAUGGAUAUGAUAUGGUAUGUGUGAUGUCUUCACGCAUGAUUGUAGCGGGAGUACAUAGCUUGACGUGUAGUUUGUAAUUGCAUAACUGACCUUUGUGGUAGCAAAAAUGCAAUGUGUAAAAUAAUCGAUGUAGUACACAAAUGCAGUAAUGUAGUGUGAUUAUCAAUGUAUUUCUGUAUGAAUGCAUUACUGCAGUGUGCUAAGGCAAUCCUGUAAUGUUAUUGUAUACAUAUGUAAAUAUUGUGUUUUCUAUAUUUAUCUAUGUAUUGUAUUGAUGAAUGUGGGUAGUGUGAGAAAAUGUAUCUACAAUGUUCCUGGGCACUGCAUUAUGUUUGGAAAUGUGUAAUUUGGUGAGUGAAUGGGGUGUAAAUGUUGUUUAGGAAUAUAAUGAAUUAGAAAUUUUUGUUUUCUUCGGCAAUGUUUGGACUGUUGAGUUUUUCUUAAAUCAAACUUUAAUGAACAUAAACCUAAAAAUGAGCCCAAAAAGAACUAUAACACCCUUCAGUCUGCCUUUAACAGGAACAAACAUUUGUAUUUCUUGAUAUUUACUAUGUUCUGCUUUUUGUUUCUCUUUUGUAAAAUCUAAUUAUACUCCUUGAAAAUAUCUUACGUGGAUUGUGACUAUUUUUAACGGAACUGAAUCAAAAGAACCACCCCACAUUUAAUGAUAGUGUUGUUUCCUUUGGUCUAAAGUGAACUCAUCAUUUCAGAAAGUUCCAAAUGUAUUCUGGUUACUUUGUGGCUUCCUCCCACUUUAGCUGAUUGCGACUUCCUCAAACCUAUAGAUACAAUUGCUACCUUAUGUCAAAAUGAUUUAAACCCUGAAAAUG
Molecule: non-coding RNA, 1145 nt
Organism: Pelobates cultripes (western spadefoot toad)
Lineage: Eukaryota; Metazoa; Chordata; Amphibia; Anura; Pelobatidae
Source: the annotation of a GenBank genome assembly